UAAAGAACGGCAGUUUGAAUCGGUGCU
This 27-nucleotide non-coding RNA is filed under the name Homo sapiens (human). The record is from RNAcentral. Lineage: Eukaryota; Metazoa; Chordata; Mammalia; Primates; Hominidae.